Molecule: small RNA, 1152 nt
Filed under: Rattus norvegicus (Norway rat)
Lineage: Eukaryota; Metazoa; Chordata; Mammalia; Rodentia; Muridae
Description: uncharacterized LOC102553378
Source: RNAcentral
ACUGCAUCUAACUCUUUCAGCUGCCUGUUGGAUCUCUCAGAGGGCAGCCAUGUCAGGCUCCUGUGGAGCCCCUAUGCAACGAUCCAAAGGUCUGUCACAUCAUUAUUCUGCAAUCUACAUAGAUUUUAUAAUAGACAUUCUAUUUUCAUUUAUAAGUUUGGCUCAUAAUCACUGUAGUGUUUAGCAUGACUCUUGGCCACACCCAGCAGUUGACAUAAUCAGAUUCUAAAAUCCUUAUGCUGUGGCUUGAGAAUCACACUCAGAAGAGAAGAAAAAUCAACCCCAUCUUCAGUUGGUGAGUUUUAGCUGCCUGGUAGCAACCUAUCAUUGAAAUAGAAACCACAUCCCCUAUCUAACUAGGCCUCAAAACCAUAGCAAGAGUCAGGGACAUAGGGUUAUUAAUAUAGGCACAGAGAGGCCCAGUCACUCACUGAAGAAUGAAGGAUUACUUGACCACUAGAAAGGGGCUCAAAGUUGUGCUGGUUUAUGUAUGUUCACACUUGGGGACUUCGUAAACUAAAAAGAGAAAAUCAAACUUCCAGGGUAUGAAUUCAAUAACUCAAGCAUUUGAAUAUACAUUCUUAAAUACUCGAAAUCAUGCUUCCAGUGAAAAGUGGAGUGGGGGGUGUCAUUCAUGCAUCACUGGCAAUGUACAGUGUGACAUACGUGUGAUGUAUUCAGACAUUGUGAUUAACUAUGAGGGAGGAGACAAGGUUUCCUCAGUCUAUAGGGAUGUGGGAAAGCAGUUUAUAGCGGGGAGAGCAUGCUCAGUGGAAUUGGGGCAUGAAUGACAUCUUGGAGGCCUGAAACAUCUCCUGCAUCAGGAGAAUCUGUAAAGCAUCUGGACUCCUCCUCUCCCCACUUCCAUGGAAUGGUCUUCCACACCCCAUCAGCACUGGACUUGGAUGGGUGACUUAAUUUUGCCAAGAGGAAGUAAGACUAUGUAGAAUAGAUUGCCAGAUACUCUGGCAAUCCAUCACCAGUAACACAUGCCCUUCAUCCUGGACCCAAGAUACCUGCCUAUGCUGCAGUAGUAGGAACUAUGUCUGAAGCUGUCAGGACCUGAAUCAGGGAUGCCUAGUCAAUACCUUGCAAGCCUUUGCCUCUGUCAGUGAACACAGAUAUGAGUAAAUGUAUAUUCUUGGCAGUAUA